AUUGAACGCUGGCGGAAUGCUUUACACAUGCAAGUCGAACGGCAGCACGGACUUCGGUCUGGUGGCGAGUGGCGAACGGGUGAGUAACAUAUCGGAACGUAUCCAAUAAUGGGGGAUAACGAGUCGAAAGAUUCGCUAAUACCGCAUACGCCCUACGGGGGAAAGCUGGGGACCUUCGGGCCUGGCGUUAAUGGAGGGGCCGUUAUCUGAUUAGCUAGUUGGUGAGGUAAAGGCUCACCAAGGCGACGAUCAGUAGCUGGUCUGAGAGGACGACCAGCCACACUGGAACUGAGACACGGUCCAGACUCCUACGGGAGGCAGCAGUGGGGAAUUUUGGACAAUGGGCGCAAGCCUGAUCCAGCCAUUCCGCGUGAGUGAAGAAGGCCUUCGGGUUGUAAAGCUCUUUCGCAAGGGAAGAAAACUUAGCCACUAACAUUGGUUGAGGUUGACGGUACCUUGAUAAGAAGCACCGGCUAACUACGUGCCAGCAGCCGCAGUAA
Molecule: ribosomal RNA, 500 nt
Filed under: uncultured bacterium
Lineage: Bacteria
Description: partial 16S ribosomal RNA
Rfam family: Bacterial small subunit ribosomal RNA
Source: RNAcentral